This 77-nucleotide transfer RNA is filed under the name Deltaproteobacteria bacterium. RNAcentral describes it as "tRNA-Arg". It matches the Rfam family "tRNA". From Rfam's summary of the family: Transfer RNA (tRNA) molecules are approximately 80 nucleotides in length. Their secondary structure includes four short double-helical elements and three loops (D, anti-codon, and T loops). Lineage: Bacteria; Pseudomonadati; Myxococcota; Myxococcia. The record is from RNAcentral.
GCGCCCGUAGCUCAGUAGGAUAGAGCGAUUGCCUCCUAAGCAAUAGGCCCCGCGUUCGAAUCGCGGCGGGCGCACCA